UACGGAGGGGGCUAGCGUUAAUCGGACUUACUGGGCGUAAAGCGUGCGCAGACGGUUGCGUAAGUCAGAUGUGAAAGCCCCGGGCUCAACCUGGGAAUUGCAUUUGAGACUGCAUAGCUAGAGUGCGGAAGAGGGAAGCGGAAUUUCCGGUGUAGCGGUGAAAUGCGUAGAUAUCGGAAGGAACACCAGUGGCGAAAGCGGCUUCCUGGUCCAGCACCGACGUUCAGGCACGAAAGCGUGGGGAGCAAACAGG
This 253-nucleotide ribosomal RNA is filed under the name uncultured bacterium. RNAcentral describes it as "partial 16S ribosomal RNA". It matches the Rfam family "Bacterial small subunit ribosomal RNA", at positions 524 to 776 of the family's 1533-position model. The record is from RNAcentral.